Molecule: transfer RNA, 76 nt
Filed under: Homo sapiens (human)
Lineage: Eukaryota; Metazoa; Chordata; Mammalia; Primates; Hominidae
Description: tRNA-Gln-CTG-16-1
Source: RNAcentral
GUGAGACUGCACAGCCCAGUGGUGCAGGGCAUGGCUCUGACACCUGGCGGCCUGGGUUCAAAUCCCAGCUUCUACA